RNAcentral lists this long non-coding RNA (1111 nucleotides) under Capsella rubella. RNAcentral describes it as "long non-coding RNA (CRUB_LNC003014)". Lineage: Eukaryota; Viridiplantae; Streptophyta; Magnoliopsida; Brassicales; Brassicaceae. The record is from RNAcentral.
CUCCCUCUUCUCCUUCGUGACUAGUAUGAGUAUCCAAAAUUGCAUAGGUUUUCGGGUUUGGGUGAUCGUAAUUUUUGUAGUUUUUAGGUUUUAGUAAGGGUUUCCAAGUUUGGGUGAUCGUAUUUACAGCAUUUUUUUGGGUAUUUUUUGUAGUUUUUAGGUUUGGGUGAUCGUAUUUACAGCAUUUUUUUGAUUUUUUAGAAGAAUUUUUUUUUUUUUUUGGUCAAUGCCUUAAGAGAAUAAGGUAACCAAUCGCAGGCCGCCACGUGGGGCCCAGAAAUAGUAAAAUACCAAGGCAGAGGACGUCCCUCUUCAAUUUUUUCUUUUUGAUUUUUUUUUUCUUUUUGGGUGGGGGACUAGGCAAGGACGGGCCAAUGCCCAUGCUCUUAGAGGUUUUGGUUAACAAAACUAGGCAGCAGUUGUUAAAAGAUAUUCUGUUCAAACUUUAAAGAGUGGCUAGAUCUGCUUGUUUUGGUGGUUUUAACAAAGAAGAUGAAUCCGAUCUGUUAGAUUCCAGGUGUGGGUUGUGUAAAACGUCGUCUUGCUCCCAAACGUAGAUCUGGUAGCAGCUCGUGUGCUUGUAUUCGUUUUUUCCGCCAGGAGAGUCUAGACGUGAGCUCCAACCUUUAGCCCUCUGCUUGCUAUUUACCCCUUCAGCGUAUUUGUUCUCUAUUUACGUCUAUUGCUUGUCGGGUUUUGAAGUCCUUGUUCUUGGUUUCGAGAGAUUGGCUCUCUUUAUGAUAGGAGGAGGUUGAGUUUAUCAUUGGUUUGGCCAUAGGUAUCCUUGGUAAACCACAUUCAUUGGUUUCUUUUAAGAAGAAGUCGCUUUGCUUCCUUGGGAUCUAUCUUUUUCAGUUUUAAUUCAUGUUGCUUUCUAGCUUAGUGUUAGGUUUAGACCGCUUUCAAGUUGUGUUUAAAAGUUCUGAUUUGUAUUUCUAGUUUGUGGUGUCUCCUUUGUUUGGAGUUUAGUUAGUUUUUGGGAAAAUCUUGUCUUCCUCGGGCCUUUGUCUCCGAGGAAAUUUAUGUUAUCCGCCAGAUUUAGUCUCCCUUUUUUGGGCAUUUGUAUUCAGGGCCGGUUCUAGGAUAUUAGAGGCCUAUAUCAAUUUUUACA